This 106-nucleotide ribosomal RNA is filed under the name Plukenetia carabiasiae. Its description in RNAcentral is "partial 5.8S ribosomal RNA". It matches the Rfam family "5.8S ribosomal RNA", at positions 54 to 154 of the family's 154-position model. From Rfam's summary of the family: 5.8S ribosomal RNA (5.8S rRNA) is a component of the large subunit of the eukaryotic ribosome. It is transcribed by RNA polymerase I as part of the 45S precursor that also contains 18S and 28S rRNA. Functionally, it is thought that 5.8S rRNA may be involved in ribosome translocation. The record is from RNAcentral. Lineage: Eukaryota; Viridiplantae; Streptophyta; Magnoliopsida; Malpighiales; Euphorbiaceae.
UGCGAUACUUGGUGUGAAUUGCAGAAUCCCGUGAAUCAUCGAGUUUUUGAACGCAAGUUGCGCCCGAAGCCUUUCGGCCGAGGGCACGUCUGCCUGGGUGUCACGC